Molecule: ribosomal RNA, 705 nt
Filed under: unidentified archaeon
Lineage: Archaea
Description: bacterial SSU rRNA
Rfam family: Archaeal small subunit ribosomal RNA
Source: RNAcentral
GGCAUAACCCCGGGAAACUGGGGAUAAUUCCGGAUAACGCACAUAUGCUGGAAUGCUUUAUGCGUCAAAUGGAUUCGUCUGCCCAAGGAUGGGUCUGCGGCCUAUCAGGUAGUAGUGGGUGUAAUGUACCUACUAGCCGACGACGGGUACGGGUUGUGAGAGCAAGAGCCCGGAGAUGGAUUCUGAGACAUGAAUCCAGGCCCUACGGGGCGCAGCAGGCGCGAAAACUUUACAAUGCGGGAAACCGUGAUAAGGGGACACCGAGUGCCAGCAUCAUAUGCUGGCUGUCCAGGUGUGUAAAAUACACCUGUUAGCAAGGGCCGGGCAAGACCGGUGCCAGCCGCCGCGGUAACACCGGCGGCCCGAGUGGUGAUCGUGAUUAUUGGGUCUAAAGGGUCCGUAGCCGGUUUGGUCAGUCCUCCGGGAAAUCUGAUAGCUCAACUAUUAGGCUUUCGGGGGAUACUGCCAGACUUGGAACCGGGAGAGGUAAGAGGUACUACAGGGGUAGGAGUGAAAUCUUGUAAUCCCUGUGGGACCACCUGUGGCGAAGGCGUCUUACCAGAACGGGUUCGACGGUGAGGGACGAAAGCUGGGGGCACGAACCGGAUUAGAUACCCGGGUAGUCCCAGCCGUAAACGAUGCUCGCUAGGUGUCAGACAUGGCGCGACCGUGUCUGGUGCCGCAGGGAAGCCGUGAAGCGAGCCA